Molecule: long non-coding RNA, 1922 nt
Organism: Siniperca chuatsi (mandarin fish)
Lineage: Eukaryota; Metazoa; Chordata; Actinopteri; Centrarchiformes; Sinipercidae
Exons: 3
Source: RefSeq, a predicted model, not a curated record
CUGUAUUCUUUACUAGCCUUCAGCCACCUUGUGUCGGGUCCUCUGUGUGGCCUGGACGCAGCGACUGUACCGUUAUGCUUUCUGCUGAAGCACAGACACGCUGUACAGAGUUUUUGUGGACACUUUCUGUCGCUUUCUCUGGCCUGUCUCUUCUCUGCGAGCCUCGCUAUUUUCUCUCUUCCUCCUUUUUGUAAUCCGCGCUGUCAAAUAACACCCAAGACGCUCUGAACAUCUCUGAUCACACACAGCGACGGUAAUAAUCAUCCGAGCGAAACGCAGUGCAGCUGUAUGUAGUUUGUGGAUUAAACGAAGCUUCGAUGCAAAUAAUCUGAAUCGAUGAUCUUUAGUAAUCGAGUAUCUCGAGUUUUCAGCCCUAGUUUCAGUUGUCAGUCUCAGUUUUAAUCAACACGUGUGUCUGCACCGGUGGUGUAACGUAACCAUGCCCCGACUACUGUCGGUACUGAGCUCGGUCAGGAUCCAUGAAACAGAGUUGAUUUUGGCCCACAUCCGAGUGAACCUGGCGCUGUCAAGGAGGACAAGACCUGCAUGGACCAACACUUCAGAGGUCAAGAAGUCACCUCCUGUCAAACAUCAAAAGAGAUGCCCAGGUGGAGCAGCACUCCCCAUUUGGACCUGCUUUUCUCAGUGCUGAAACAGAGCCAAACGCACGAACCCCUUUUCUGAACCAGGAAAUAAAGGCAGCUCCACACCACCACCACCAACCUCCUCCUCCUCUCUCAGGCCGUCUCAGACUUUCUUGUGGGCCUUGUGGUGAUGCCGGGUGAAAUCACAUGAUCACCUCAAACAACCAGGCACUGAAGAGGAUUAAGUUUGAGCACUCUCUUAAAUUAACUGAAAGCAAAAACAUACAUCUUGUCUACACCAUAUAAAGUCUAAGCCUUACAGUGUAGACAAGAGACUUCUGUUUUUGUUUUAUCAGUGUAUCUUCAUGAAUUACAUUUCACACCAAUCACUCACUCUGCUUAAUCUAAAUCAUGUAAAUCUAAAAUACAGCUUUUUUAUGGACACACUGCAAUGCAGAUGUUAACAAGACUGAUCCCAUGAUCUUUCUGUAAUGGGAAAGUCUCUAUUUUUAAAUGUAAACACUUUCCUCUGUUUUUUCUCAUAAUUUCUCACUGCAGUGCUUAUGAGUGAGAUCAUACUUUUUGCUAAUAAAGUCUAACUGGUUAGCCCGGAUUGAAUUAUGUCACAAGCUUUCCUCAAAACACCCCUUAUGUGAUUGUUCACAUGGACACUUAGUUCUUAUGAGGUUGGUUUCUAAACAUUUUGAGGAUGAUAUGGGUAAACCCACCCGAACAUCAGUGCCCCUCAAUGUCCAGUUACUUAUUAUUAAUAUACAAGGACAAUACUGUACAGCCUUUAGCAAUAUCUAUUUAACUUGCACUAAUUACAGUAUAUUACUAUCAUUGUACAGUGAAUUAUAUAUUAGAAUUAACUUUGUGGUCUAUGUUUAGACUAUUUUCACAAACACAAUAACAAACAGCUCUAUCUGUGACUUAUUCCUUUUAAUUUGGAUUACAUGUACAGUAAAAUAGUAAAGACUUAUGGUGCUCCUACAGCAUGUUCAGUCUGAUUCCCAUUGGUCCAUCUAUGCUAAAAUAUUCACUUUAAUACUUGUUUGUGAAUAAAAGCAUGAAUCAAAUUCCAAAUGAUACAUUUUAUGAACUCUGGCUAUGCAGUACUCAUUUCUGUCUAUACACUGCUGCCAUCCCCUGGUGGGAAAGAGAUUGUUUGAUGAUCAGCCAGGAGAUUUUGACUUUUGUACUUUCUUGGUCCACUGAUGCUGCAUGCUCAGCGGUGGCACUAUUUCAUCGAGGUCUGUUAGAAUAAUGACAAUAUCAUUUAUCUGUAGAAUGAAAAGUAGCUCAUGAAAGGCUUGCAGUAUGUUGUCUACAUACUGU